RNAcentral lists this microRNA (23 nucleotides) under Gallus gallus (chicken). Its description in RNAcentral is "gga-miR-7461-5p". Lineage: Eukaryota; Metazoa; Chordata; Aves; Galliformes; Phasianidae. The record is from miRBase by way of RNAcentral.
UCUGUGAUCAGGCAGGAGAUGAU